RNAcentral lists this ribosomal RNA (253 nucleotides) under uncultured bacterium. RNAcentral describes it as "partial 16S ribosomal RNA". It matches the Rfam family "Bacterial small subunit ribosomal RNA", at positions 524 to 776 of the family's 1533-position model. The record is from RNAcentral.
UACGUAGGGGGCAAGCGUUGUCCGGAAUCAUUGGGCGUAAAGCGCGUGUAGGCGGCCCGGUAAGUCCGCUGUGAAAGUCGGGGGCUCAACCCUCGAAUGCCGGUGGAUACUGUCGGGCUAGAGUGCGGAAGAGGCGAGUGGAAUUCCUGGUGUAGCGGUGAAAUGCGCAGAUAUCAGGAAGAACACCCGUGGCUAAGGCGGCUCUCUAGUACGGUACUGACGCUGAGACGCGAAAGCGUGGGGAGCAAACAGG